CUGGGCUUGACAUGUAAUGAUCAACAUGUGAAAGCAUGCGACUCUUCGGAGGCGUUACACAGGUGCUGCAUGGCCGUCGUCAGCUCGUGUCGUGAGAUGUUUGGUUAAGUCCAGCAACGAGCGCAACCCCUGUUGCCAGUUACCAGCACGUGAAGGUGGGGACUCUGGCGAGACUGCCCAGAUCAACUGGGAGGAAGGUGGGGACGACGUCAGGUCAGUAUGGCCCUUAUGCCCAGGGCUGCACACGUACUACAAUGCCCAGUACAGAGGGGGCCGAAGCCGCGAGGCGGAGGAAAUCCUAAAAACUGGGCCCAGUUCGGACUGUAGGCUGCAACCCGCCUACACGAAGCCGGAAUCGCUAGUAAUGGCGCAUCAGCUACGGCGCCGUGAAUACGUUCCC
Molecule: ribosomal RNA, 400 nt
Filed under: uncultured bacterium
Lineage: Bacteria
Description: bacterial SSU rRNA
Rfam family: Bacterial small subunit ribosomal RNA
Source: RNAcentral